RNAcentral lists this long non-coding RNA (225 nucleotides) under Vicia faba (fava bean). The record is from RNAcentral. Lineage: Eukaryota; Viridiplantae; Streptophyta; Magnoliopsida; Fabales; Fabaceae.
AUGUUAGAAGGUGCAAAAUCAAUAGGUGCCGGAGCUGCUACAAUUGCUUCAGCGGGAGCUGCUGUAGGUAUUGGAAACGUAUUCAGUUCAUUAAUUCAUUCUGUGGCAAGAAAUCCAUCAUUGGCAAAACAGUUAUUCGGAUAUGCAAUCCUGGGAUUUGCUCUAACCGAGGCUAUUUCCUUGUUCGCAUUAAUGAUGGCCUUUUUGAUUCUAUUUGUUUUCUAA